This 500-nucleotide ribosomal RNA is filed under the name uncultured bacterium. RNAcentral's name for it is "partial 16S ribosomal RNA". It matches the Rfam family "Bacterial small subunit ribosomal RNA", at positions 30 to 523 of the family's 1533-position model. The record is from RNAcentral.
AUUGAACGCUGGCGGCAGGCCUAACACAUGCAAGUCGAGCGGAUGAAGAGAGCUUGCUCUCUGAUUCAGCGGCGGACGGGUGAGUAAUGCCUAGGAAUCUGCCUGGUAGUGGGGGACAACGUUUCGAAAGGAACGCUAACACCGCAUACGUCCUACGGGAGAAAGCAGGGGACCUUCGGGCCUUGCGCUAUCAGAUGAGCCUAGGUCGGAUUAGCUAGUUGGUGGGGUAAUGGCCCACCAAGGCGACGAUCCGUACCUGGUCUGAGAGGAUGAUCAGUCACACUGGAACUGAGACACGGUCCAGACUCCUACGGGAGGCAGCAGUGGGGAAUAUUGGACAAUGGGCGAAAGCCUGAUCCAGCCAUGCCGCGUGUGUGAAGAAGGUCUUCGGAUUGUAAAGCACUUUAAGUUGGGAGGAAGGGCAUUAACCUAAUACGUUAGUGUUUUGACGUUACCAACAGAAUAAGCACCGGCUAACUUCGUGCCAGCAGCCGCGGUAA